UUCUAUGAUGUUUCCAACUUACAAACUUUCACAAUGAUAUUUGAAUACAACUUGAUAGUAACCUUAAUCUGAUAAA
Molecule: small nucleolar RNA, 76 nt
Filed under: Drosophila persimilis
Lineage: Eukaryota; Metazoa; Arthropoda; Insecta; Diptera; Drosophilidae
Also listed under: 1 other name
Description: snoRNA:GL27986
Source: RNAcentral